AGGAAAGUCGUAGGCAGAGUUCCAAUAUGGCGCGCGAGUGUAAACACGUGUGGCGCGAAUCAUCCGUGACGUGUUCCUAAUUUUUCAUCUUUCGUGUUUAUUUCGUUUUAAAAUGUAUCCUGAUGUUCAUUUUCGUCAAUGUGAUCGAUUAAUAGUGCAUUCUUGUGAUAUUUUGCGAACAUUUACGUGAAACGGGAUUCAACUCGGCGUUUUCAAUUGGCUUCUAUUCCUCCAAAUCAGCUACGUUUACUGCGCAACAGGAAAGGGAACAAAGGGUCCGCAGUUCGUUAGGUGGACACAACUUUCUUCUAAUUAUCAAAGAGCGGCCGAGAAGAAACAUGGAGGUGGGCGGGGUCGGUAUCGCGACAGAUGCAAUUACAGUUAGUUACGGGAACUAAUCCACUGCGACUGCUUGUACUUCAUCAUCGGGGCUUUGCAAUUAUGCAGUACACGUAGUAUACACGAGUGUGCACGAUGGAGGACAAAAGUGUCAUAAAAUGUAACGAGGAAUAUUGAAAAAAAUACGUAAUUUAGAAGAAUACAUUGGAAGGCGUAAUGAAAAUUAUAUUUAUAAAAGGUUAUUUAUUAUUGGUAUUUGAAUAUUCUAAAAGAGAAUUUGUUACUCAAGAAAAUAAUCACCAAUGCACAGAGCAAAUAUAACAUAGAUUUUAUAUUAUAAUACAUCCUAUUCCUAGAAUUAUAUUAAAUAUUUUACCAGAAAUAAAUUAUAUUUGUAAAUUUAAUUUACUCUAGAAUUCGAUCAAACCCUGUUAAAAAUUAAGAAAAUUUUAAACCGCUGUAUAAGUUCAAAGAUAGUGUGGUUUCCAGUCGAGCGAGCGAACGAUCGUUGAAAGCGUCGAAAUCUUUCCCCUUUGAAACGCUUUUCGAUACGACUCCCGAUACAUCGUCGUGCAAACAAAAAGUUAAUUUUUAAUAGGUUCGCCAUCUUCGACACUUGCUCGCUCCCGUUCCCCUCAAACUUCGGCCAAACGACGCGAUUCCUGGAAAAAAGCUCACGCAUUUCGCAGGAGAAAUAUCUAGGUCAUCGGAUCGCAUCAUUCGUAAUUACCGUUUUAAGCUCCACAGAUGCUUUUGAAUUCUUAUAUCUCGGCAACCGAUCGAGAUAUCGGGAUAAAACAAAAAAAAAAAAAAAAAAAAGCGACUCGAAUGACGUGGAUUCUUCCAUUUCCUCGAGUGGAUAUUAUUUUUUUUUUUAUGACGUAAUUCUCUUUGUGUUUGCAAAAGUUUCAUUCGCGAUUUUCCUAUUAUUUAACGAGUAUUAAUUAACAUUUAUUGUUUCAUUAUUUGUUGUUAUUAAUUCGCAAUAUAAACGUUACUUUCAACAAUAUCGUUUCCAAUAUUGCAUUCAACUUUCAUUACUUUCUAUCGAUCGCAAUUAAUAUCGUAAUUUCGUAACACGCAAUAUACACGAUUAACAAUGCAAAAGUAUAAUUUUAUUACGUAAUAAGGAAGGGGGAGGCAUUUCUUCCUUUCCGAUUUUACAAAAUCUCUCAUCUCCUCGUUCGUAUACUUGAGCGUUUUCGUUUCACACUUCCGAUACAUCACCACGCCAGGUUAAUUGAUUCAAAUUUGCAUCCAUAUUCGAAUACACUGCAGAGUGGAACCAAACAUUCUACUCCCUUCUAUAUUCGACCCAAUUCGAAAGUUGAUUCGACGGUUGGAUAUUAUCAGAUAUAUAUAUACGUAGAGAGCUCGGCCACGUCUCCUCCACUUUUCCAUUAAAGAGGAUUUCCAGGAUGUGUAUACAUCCGAAAGAUUACAACGGUGUUGCUAUUAAUACGAAGUAAUUUUUAUCCGUGUCGACGCGUUAUUAAAAAUGAAGGAACGAGCGCUUCGAACUUUCGAUUUUACCCCCUUCGUGCGUACAAAUGUCACAGUUAAACAAAGAUGUUAUUAAAUAAGGAAAUUUUCCACGAACCAUUGAUUCCAGUGACCAUUCGUGACCAAACGUCGUCGGGAAAUGAAACGAAAAUUAGAGAACAAAAGACAC
This 2011-nucleotide long non-coding RNA is filed under the name Apis mellifera (honey bee). Its description in RNAcentral is "uncharacterized LOC102654507, transcript variant X2". Lineage: Eukaryota; Metazoa; Arthropoda; Insecta; Hymenoptera; Apidae. The record is from RNAcentral.